RNAcentral lists this ribosomal RNA (497 nucleotides) under uncultured bacterium. RNAcentral's name for it is "partial 16S ribosomal RNA". It matches the Rfam family "Bacterial small subunit ribosomal RNA", at positions 28 to 507 of the family's 1533-position model. The record is from RNAcentral.
GAUGAACGCUGGCGGCGUGCCUAAUACAUGCAAGUCGAGCGAACAGACGAGGAGCUUGCUCCUCUGACGUUAGCGGCGGACGGGUGAGUAACACGUGGAUAGCCUACCUAUAAGACUGGGAUAACUUCGGGAAACCGGAGCUAAUACCGGAUAAUAUAUUGAACCGCAUGGUUCAAUAGUGAAAGACGGUUUUGCCGUCACUUAUAGAUGGAUCCGCGCCGCAUUAGCUAGUUGGUAAGGUAACGGCUUACCAAGGCAACGAUGCGUAGCCGACCUGAGAGGGUGAUCGGCCACACUGGAACUGAGACACGGUCCAGACUCCUACGGGAGGCAGCAGUAGGGAAUCUUCCGCAAUGGGCGAAAGCCUGACGGAGCAACGCCGCGUGAGUGAUGAAGGUCUUCGGAUCGUAAAACUCUGUUAUUAGGGAAGAACAAAUGUGUAAGUAACUAUGCACGUCUUGACGGUACCUAAUCAGAAAGCCACGGCUAACUACGUG